RNAcentral lists this ribosomal RNA (274 nucleotides) under uncultured prokaryote. Its description in RNAcentral is "partial 16S ribosomal RNA". It matches the Rfam family "Bacterial small subunit ribosomal RNA", at positions 524 to 798 of the family's 1533-position model. The record is from RNAcentral.
UACGUAGGGGCUAGCGUUAUCCGGAAUUACUGGGCGUAAAAGGGUGCGUAGGUGGUUUCUUAAGUCAGAGGUGAAAGGCUACGGCUCAACCGUAGUAAGCCUUUGAAACUGAGAAACUUGAGUGCAGGAGAGGAGAGUAGAAUUCCUAGUGUAGCGGUGAAAUGCGUAGAUAUUAGGAGGAAUACCAGUUGCGAAGGCGGCUCUCUGGACUGUAACUGACACUGAGGCACGAGAGCGUGGGGAGCAAACAGGAUUAGAUACCCUGGUAGUCCCU